CUCCCCUUCUCGUACCCUUCAGGCCUCCGAGGGAGGGUCAGCUCUGCCGGCUCAAGUUACAAGAACUUGAAGACAGGAAGAUUUAGCGAGGGAGCCGCGGCCAAGCACAGUGCGCUGUUUGUCCGCCUUUGAAACCAGAGGCUGCGAGGCGGGGGCCGGCGCCCCCUCCCCACAGCCCCGGCGAGUUCCUGGACGGGCGCGCGCAAGCACAGCGACCCCUACCGGCUCCUCCACUCUCCCCAGCCACCUCCUCCAGGAAGCUCGCUCGGGCUUCCGGGACCUGGAAGAGUCCUGUAGAGACUGUCUGAGAGAUGCUUUUGGCCUCCCAGACAUUUUGUCCUUGGGUCCUCACUAAUACAUCACGAGGUCUCUUCACUUGAACCAGUUGGGGGUAAACUUCGUUUCCCGUCGUGACCCUGCCUGAUACAGCACCUUCUGCCCAGGCCACAAAACAAGCCAUGGCCAGCGGGAGGCCAAGGGACAAGAGAGAGAUUGCCAGAGGGCAGAAACACACAGGACAAAAUGGGGCAGAGAAGCAGAAACAGGGAGAGAUUAAAAAGGCAAAGGCUGGCCGGGCGCUGUGGCUCAUGCCUGUAAUCUCAACAUUUUGGGAGGCCUGAAGGAGGUGGAUCACUUGAGCCCAAGAGUUUGAGAUCAGCCUGGGCAACAUAGCAAGACCCCGUCUCUGCAAAAAAAAAUUAAAAAAUUUAGCUAGGCAUGAUGGUUCACCCCUCUGAUUGCCUGAUUGCUUAAGUUCCAGGCUGCAGUGAGCUGCGAUUGCACCAUUGUACUCUGGCCUGGGCAACAGAGCCAGAUCCUGUC
This 822-nucleotide long non-coding RNA is filed under the name Homo sapiens (human). RNAcentral describes it as "HSALNT0334236". Lineage: Eukaryota; Metazoa; Chordata; Mammalia; Primates; Hominidae. The record is from RNAcentral.